RNAcentral lists this ribosomal RNA (474 nucleotides) under uncultured bacterium. RNAcentral describes it as "partial 16S ribosomal RNA". It matches the Rfam family "Bacterial small subunit ribosomal RNA", at positions 28 to 523 of the family's 1533-position model. The record is from RNAcentral.
GACGAACGCUGGCGGCGUGCCUAACACAUGCAAGUCGAGCGAUGAAGCCUUCGGGUGGAUUAGCGGCGGACGGGUGAGUAACACGUGGGUAACCUGCCUCAAAGAGGGGGAUAGCCUCCCGAAAGGGAGAUUAAUACCGCAAAACAUUAGAUUGUCGCAUGACAGUUUAAUCAAAGCAGUAAUGCACUUUGAGAUGGACCCGCGGCGCAUUAGCUAGUUGGAGAGGUAACGGCUCACCAAGGCGACGAUGCGUAGCCGACCUGAGAGGGUGAUCGGUCACAAUGGAACUGAGACACGGUCCAGACACCUACGGGAGGCAGCCGUGGGGAAUAUUGCACAAUGGGCGAAAGCCUGAUGCAGCAGCGCCGCGUGAGUGAUGAAGGCCUUCGGGUUGUAAAGCUCUGUCUUCUGGGACGAUAAUGACGGUACCAGAGGAGGAAGCCACGGCUAACUACGUGCCAGCCGCCGCAGUAA